GAUCAUAGCUCAGGACGAACGCUGGCGGCGUGCUUAACACAUGCAAGUCGAACGAGAAUCUGUGGAAAGAGGAUUCGUCCAAUUGAAGCAGAGGACAGUGGCGGACGGGUGAGUAACGCGUGAGGAACCUGCCUUUCAGAGGGGGACAACAGUUGGAAACGACUGCUAAUACCGCAUGACACAUCGGAGUCGCAUGGCUCUGAUGUCAAAGAUUUAUCGCUGAAAGA
RNAcentral lists this ribosomal RNA (227 nucleotides) under uncultured bacterium. RNAcentral's name for it is "partial 16S ribosomal RNA". It matches the Rfam family "Bacterial small subunit ribosomal RNA", at positions 15 to 225 of the family's 1533-position model. The record is from RNAcentral.